This 677-nucleotide unclassified non-coding RNA is filed under the name uncultured Prochlorococcus sp. RNAcentral's name for it is "partial may contain 16S ribosomal RNA, 16S-23S ribosomal RNA intergenic spacer, and 23S ribosomal RNA". The stretch from base 299 to 371 matches the Rfam family "tRNA". The record is from RNAcentral. Lineage: Bacteria; Bacillati; Cyanobacteriota; Cyanophyceae; Synechococcales; Prochlorococcaceae.
AGGAGGACGCCGAAGGUGGGGCUAAUGACUGGGGUGAAGUCGUAACAAGGUAGCCGUACCGGAAGGUGCGGCUGGAUCACCUCCUAACAGGGAGACAACAAAAUGUUUAAUAUUAUUAUUUUGUCACCUUAGGUCGAUCGGUAUCUCACGUUCUUAAUUCGUUAAGAAUUUCAUUUCCUAAGUUUUUCUAGGUCACACCCAUUAUUUUUCCUGGGCCAUUAGCUCAGGUGGUUAGAGCGCACCCCUGAUAAGGGUGAGGUCCCUGGUUCAAGUCCAGGAUGGCCCAUAUCUCUAUGUUGGGGGUAUAGCUCAGUUGGUAGAGCGCCUGCUUUGCAAGCAGGAUGUCAGCGGUUCGAGUCCGCUUACCUCCACUGAUUACCACCUCUUCCAUAACCGAUAGAAAGGAAAUGUUUUGAGUUGUGAUCAUUAUUCUGAACGAAUCUAGCUUCCUAAUGAAAUCAUUAAGAUGCUGGACUCAUUGAAUUAAUUUUCAUUGUUUUCAGAGAACCUUGACAACUGCAUAGAUUAUUUUUAAAGACAAUAAGCAUCUUUAAUGAUGCAGAUUUAUUAUUUGUGCGAAUGCAUUAAUAACAAUUCUAUUAAGCUGAUGCUUCAAUUUUUGAAGUUAUUGGUCAAGCUACAAAGGGCUCACGGAGGAUACCUAGGCACACAGAGGC